Molecule: small RNA, 835 nt
Filed under: Pan troglodytes (chimpanzee)
Lineage: Eukaryota; Metazoa; Chordata; Mammalia; Primates; Hominidae
Description: retained intron
Source: RNAcentral
GCGCGGAAGGAGCUUGCAGUAGCGGGCGGCAGAGCUGGAGUGAAGGGAGCUAGUGUUUAGGUAGCAGCCACCAUUAUGCUCAAAGCGGUGAUCCUGAUUGGAGGCCCUCAAAAGGGAACUCGCUUCAGACCUUUGUCUUUUGAGGUGCCCAAACCAUUGUUUCCUGUGGCAGGGGUCCCUAUGAUCCAACACCAUAUUGAAGCCUGUGCCCAGGUCCCUGGAAUGCAGGAGAUUCUGCUCAUUGGCUUCUACCAACCUGAUGAGCCCCUCACCCAGUUCCUAGAAGCCGCCCAGCAGGAGUUUAACCUUCCAGUCAGGUGUUUGUGCACACACUCGUAUAUGGGGGGGUGGGGAUGCCCUAGGCCUCUGAGUUCUUGGAAGUGGGUUGAGUCAGCAUUUGCUGGAGUUCAUCCUCACCUACUAGAAGGAUUCUUGUUUGGACAUCAAUGAAUCUCUGAGUAUAUAGAGUUUCUCUGUAGGCCUUGGGCAGGAGUAGUCCUGGGAGCAAGCGGUGGGGGUCAGGUGCCCUGGCUCAUGGUAUCUGUUUCCUAAGAUCCACUGAUCUGGCUCUCGGGUCCCUGGGGACAGGUACCUGCAGGAAUUUGCCCCCCUAGGCACAGGGGGUGGUCUUUACCAUUUUCGAGACCAGAUCCUGGCUGGGAGCCCCGAGGCAUUCUUCGUGCUCAAUGCUGAUGUCUGCUCCGACUUCCCCUUGAGUGCUAUGUUGGAAGCCCACCGACGCCAGCGUCACCCUUUCUUACUCCUUGGCACUACGGCUAACAGGACGCAAUCCCUCAACUACGGCUGCAUCGUUGAGAAUCCACAGACACACGAG